AGUUUUAUUUAGGCUUUGCUUUUUUCUACUUUUAGAAUACGAGUUUUGAAUUUUUGAAUUGCUGUUAAAACUUUCAUCAUGAACACUGAAGUGAGUGAAAAGAGACUUUUGCAGUCAUUUUUUUGCUGGCUGCAGAUGACAGUGACACCCUGGGAGUUGAGAAAUGCUUGUAAGAUGGAAGGAGGCUGUGUCCCUGAAUGAUCACCUGGAAGAGAGCCACCUUAGCCAAUGAAACUCCUGCUAUGAAUGUUUGCUGAGCAAGAAAUAUACUUACUGCUUUAUAUGCCUUUGAAGCUAUAGGUUCAUAUUGUUACCACAAUUUAAAGUGCUAUAAUAAAAAGAGUUCAGGAAGCAGGCACAUGGAAGCAAUAAGAGCAACAAACAUUUACACAAGAUUUGGGGGUCUUUGGAAGUGGAGAAUGUGUUUGCCCUGGGGAAGAGAGGUGAUGUCUAGGAGACCUCUUCACUCAGGGCAAGCUCUAUGACCUGCUUUGACUCCAGAAUGUGGUAGAAGUGGCAUCACAUAAAUUGCAGAGCCUAGGCUUCAAGAGACCUUGCAACUUGCCUCUCACUGACUUGAAGUGCUCCCAUCAGAGCAUCUUGUAAGGAGCAGGUGGAGCAUGUGGACAAGCCAUCCCCACCAGCCCCUGAGACAUGUGAGAGAGGCCAGAACAGGCCAUCCGGACCCCACUGUGCUGGUGGAUGAGACAGCAGAAGGAAUAUCAACCUACCAACAGAAUCCUGAGAAAUGCUCACUCUUACUUCAAGCUGCUGCAUUUUGAUGUUAUGAAACCAUAAAUAACUUAUGAAGUCAUCUUUGCUGACUUAAAGUUUUCCAUAACUUUAUUAUAACAUAUCAAAAUUAUGAAAAAUGUGAAAAGUAGAAAACUGAUGAAUUUUGCUUCUUCAUAUGGUCUUUAAGAAUCUCAAAGGCACUGAAGUUUUUUAUCUUUUCUGUCUUAGAAUAAAAAACCUUGAAUGAAAAU
RNAcentral lists this long non-coding RNA (986 nucleotides) under Homo sapiens (human). RNAcentral describes it as "HSALNT0136861". The record is from RNAcentral. Lineage: Eukaryota; Metazoa; Chordata; Mammalia; Primates; Hominidae.